UAGGAACUGUGCGCACGUUAUUCGGAAUCACUGGGCUUACAGGGUGCGUAGGCGGCUUGUUAAGUAGGGUGUGAAAGCCCCCGGCUCAACCGGGGAAUUGCGCCCUAAACUGGCGAGCUGGAGUGAGAUAGGGGUGUGUGGAACUUCCGGUGGAGCGGUGAAAUGUGUUGAUAUCGGAAGGAACGCCGGUGGCGAAAGCGACACACUGGAUCUUGUCUGACGCUCAUGCACGAAAGCGUGGGGAGCAAACAGG
RNAcentral lists this ribosomal RNA (253 nucleotides) under uncultured bacterium. Its description in RNAcentral is "partial 16S ribosomal RNA". It matches the Rfam family "Bacterial small subunit ribosomal RNA", at positions 524 to 776 of the family's 1533-position model. The record is from RNAcentral.